CCACCCAAAGAAUAGAAAUACCUGACAGUUGCCCGUUUAACACCGGUGGAGUAAUUAUUAAACCCCCCUUUUUUACUAUAUUGCUAAUCCAAACCCAAACUGUCCGAUACAGAGCAGCGCCAGCGUUCAACCAGCAGAGAGCGCAAUCGGGUCACCAUAUCCAUCUCGGUGGCUCCACCCAUGCCCACAUUCCCCUCCCCUCACUCCAUCAGGAGACAGGACCAGAGGAGUCGACACUCACAUAUGGUAAGCGUUAUUACAGUUAUAGUACAGUACUAGCGUCUAGAAUGGCGCUUGGGCAUUGUAUCUUGAUUGAGAUUGGCGGAAACUAACGUAACUAUUUUUCCUACGUUUUGGCUGUUAACUUGCGUUAUCUAUAAACCACUCGUGCUGUAAAAGCUUAAGGUUUUUCAGUAAUACUGUAAGUUUUUUUGUAAUCAUAUAUCUUGUUUGAUUGUAUUUCAUGGCACAGCUGGACAGAGCUGAAUAUCAGACAAUGCAGAGGAAGGAAAGAAGCACCAGAGAGUCCGACAUGCA
Long non-coding RNA from Ictalurus punctatus (channel catfish), 537 nucleotides. NCBI's taxonomy places the organism in Eukaryota, Metazoa, Chordata, Actinopteri, Siluriformes, Ictaluridae. The record is from Ensembl.